RNAcentral lists this ribosomal RNA (490 nucleotides) under uncultured bacterium. Its description in RNAcentral is "partial 16S ribosomal RNA". It matches the Rfam family "Bacterial small subunit ribosomal RNA", at positions 30 to 507 of the family's 1533-position model. The record is from RNAcentral.
AUUGAACGCUGGCGGCAGGCCUAACACAUGCAAGUCGAAUGGUAACAGGAAACAGCUUGCUGUUUCGCUGACGAGUGGCGGACGGGUGAGUAAUGUCUGGGAAACUGCCUGAUGGAGGGGGAUAACUACUGGAAACGGUAGCUAAUACCGCAUAACGUCGCAAGACCAAAGAGGGGGACCUUCGGGCCUCUUGCCAUCAGAUGUGCCCAGAUGGGAUUAGCUAGUAGGUGGGGUAACGGCUCACCUAGGCGACGAUCCCUAGCUGGUCUGAGAGGAUGACCAGCCACACUGGAACUGAGACGCGGUCCAGACUCCUACGGGAGGCAGCAGUGGGGAAUAUUGCACAAUGGGCGCAAGCCUGAUGCAGCCAUGCCGCGUGUAUGAAGAAGGCCUUCGGGUUGUAAAGUACUUUCAGCGGGGAGGAAGGGAGUAAAGUUAAUACCUUUGCUAAUUGACGUUACCCGCAGAAGAAGCACCGGCUAACUCCGUG